This is a non-coding RNA of Delphinapterus leucas (beluga whale), 738 nucleotides long. The record is from RefSeq and is a predicted model, not a curated record. Lineage: Eukaryota; Metazoa; Chordata; Mammalia; Artiodactyla; Monodontidae.
AGCACCAUUCAGAAACAUUGCUUGCCAGUCUGGAGACUGGCACUUACCCUUUUAUAAAGCACAUGUGGAAAUGAAAGACAGGUUUUUUCACCUUCAUGAUUCCAGUUGGGGACCAGGUUACCAGCACUUGAAGGUCAGAGAGGGAAUGUUCCUGCUGAGGACGGACCCCCAGGAGGGAAGAAGUUGAUCCAGUCCCCCCACAUCUCCUUUCUUCGUGUUCCUGAUCCUAUCAUGGGUUUUGGUCAACAGUUCUGGAAAGUUCUCUGGGGUCCAGGACUAGGGGGUUCCUCUAGGAUCUCAACUCAGUCUUCUCCCUGGCCUCUCACGUGAGCUUUUCUUCUUACAGGUGAGAAAGGAGGGAGCUACGCCCAGGCUGCAAGCAGUGACAGUGCCCAGGGCUCUGAUGUGUCUCUCACGGAUCCUAAAGUGUGAGACAGCAGCCUCGUGGGACUGGGUGAUGCAUGGUCCCAAUUUGUGGCUUCAGAUCCCGUGACUCCUCUUUCUGCAGCUGCAUCUGAAUGUGUCUGUGUUCCUCGUAGCCUAAUGUGAGGAGGUGGGGAGACUGGCCCACCCCUGCCCACCACGACCCCUCCCCACCCUGACCUGUGUUCUCUUCCCUGAUCCACUUGCCUGUUCCAGCAGAGGCAGGGCUGGGCCACCUCCAUCCCUGUCUUAACUUCGUGGUGCACUGAAUAAUAAUCUCUUACUUGCCAGUUGGAAAUAAAAUCUGUAUAUGAA